Molecule: ribosomal RNA, 253 nt
Filed under: uncultured bacterium
Lineage: Bacteria
Description: partial 16S ribosomal RNA
Rfam family: Bacterial small subunit ribosomal RNA
Source: RNAcentral
UACGGAGGGUGCAAGCGUUAUCCGGAUUCACUGGGUUUAAAGGGUGCGUAGGUGGCGUGGUAAGUCGGGUGUGAAAUUUCGGAGCUUAACUCCGAAACUGCAUUCGAUACUGCUGUGCUUGAGGACUGGAGAGGAGACUGGAAUUUACGGUGUAGCAGUGAAAUGCGUAGAGAUCGUAAGGAAGACCAGUGGCGAAGGCGGGUCUCUGGACAGUUCCUGACACUGAGGCACGAAGGCCAGGGGAGCAAACGGG